This 455-nucleotide long non-coding RNA is filed under the name Cyanistes caeruleus (blue tit). RNAcentral's name for it is "lncRNA (ENSCCEG00000018324.1)". The record is from RNAcentral. Lineage: Eukaryota; Metazoa; Chordata; Aves; Passeriformes; Paridae.
CUUAAAGAACUAAAUACCUAUAAAGUAAUUAUUCAUUUGCUUGCUUCUAGACAAAAGUGUACUGACCUUUCCUCCAAGUUCUCGGAAAGCAGUAGUGAUGGAAAAUACACAUCAUGAAGGGAAAUUGAGAGGUCACAUUGCAGAAAAGGAAAUAUUCAGGAAAAUACAACGACCAAAGGCAGGGAACAGCUUCCAUACAAGCUGUGACUUGGGAGAGGGAAGUGAUAGAGCAGCUUGGCAAGCACCCAACAGCCAGCCAAGGUUAACCCACAACAGAUGCCACAAAUAGAUGACAUGGAGAUGGUGGACAUGAAGGAGACAGGCACAUAAUAAUUCUAAAAUCAUGAAUGCCGUGGCAAAAGGAGACACUGCAUGCUGCCUCUUCAAAUACAAGAAUUAGGGGCAUGAAAUUAAUCUGAGAAGACCAUUAUAAAACAGAAAAAACAAUAAAAUUG